This 320-nucleotide unclassified non-coding RNA is filed under the name uncultured fungus. RNAcentral describes it as "sequence contains 5.8S rRNA gene". The stretch from base 1 to 53 matches the Rfam family "5.8S ribosomal RNA", at positions 102 to 154 of the family's 154-position model. The record is from RNAcentral. Lineage: Eukaryota; Fungi.
GAACGCACAUUGCACCCUCUGGUAUUCCGGAGGGUAUGCCUGUUUGAGUGUCAUUAACAUGUCAACACAGACAAGUUUUGUUACUUGUUCUGCUGCUUGGAUGCUGGAGGCUUGCUGGCAGUCUUUUGUCAGCUCCUUUUAAAUUCAUUAGCAGAGACCUUGCAUAACUGGCUUCAGUUUGAUAAUAUUGAACUGCUGCUAGGUAUCCCAUGCAUCAUGUUCUCAGCUUCUAACUGUCCAUUGACUUGGACUGUCUCUUAAGAGGCAAACAAUCUGACAACUUGACCUCAAAUCAGGUAGGAUUACCCGCUGAACUUAAG